CUAAAGCCUAAGAAAGUCAAAAAGUAAAGUAAAUGCUAAUUAAUGUCUACUAUUACAUUUCAAGACUUUUGUAUAAUAAUUCUGUCUCUGUACAGUAUCUUGUCUCCGUUGGUUUUUGUCGUAUUUGCUCCAUUAUUGUUCUGUAUCUGCUCCAUUAUUGCUUCUGUAUCUGCUCCAUUAUUGCUCUUUUAUCUUAUCUUUCCAGCUGGCAUUUUAUCUUCUUUAUUCUAGCUGUACCUCUGGAAUAAUAUUAUCUUCUCCAUUGCACCUCGAACAUUGGUGAUCUGGAUAUUUAUGUCCGAUUAUCUUACAGUAUCUGGUUAGCAGUCCGUCUGAAAUAAAUCCCUUUUUUAUUGCUCGCGCGGUAGAUUGUUUUUCUGGGUUAA
Molecule: long non-coding RNA, 386 nt
Filed under: Capsicum annuum
Lineage: Eukaryota; Viridiplantae; Streptophyta; Magnoliopsida; Solanales; Solanaceae
Description: long non-coding RNA (CANN_LNC008835)
Source: RNAcentral